This 65-nucleotide transfer RNA is filed under the name Zeugodacus depressus (pumpkin fruit fly). Its description in RNAcentral is "tRNA-Thr". It matches the Rfam family "tRNA". From Rfam's summary of the family: Transfer RNA (tRNA) molecules are approximately 80 nucleotides in length. Their secondary structure includes four short double-helical elements and three loops (D, anti-codon, and T loops). Further hydrogen bonds mediate the characteristic L-shaped molecular structure. tRNAs have two regions of fundamental functional importance: the anti-codon, which is responsible for specific mRNA codon recognition, and the 3' end, to which the tRNAs corresponding amino acid is attached (by aminoacyl-tRNA synthetases). tRNAs cope with the degeneracy of the genetic code in two manners: having more than one tRNA (with a specific anti-codon) for a particular amino acid; and 'wobble' base-pairing, i.e. permitting non-standard base-pairing at the 3rd anti-codon position. Lineage: Eukaryota; Metazoa; Arthropoda; Insecta; Diptera; Tephritidae. The record is from RNAcentral.
GUUUUAGUAGUUUAACAAAAACAUUGGUCUUGUAAACCAAAAAUAAGAUUAAAUCUUUUAAAACU